GGUUUACCUGUGUGACUGCGUACCUUUUGUAUAAUGGGUCAGCGACUUAUAUUCUGUAGCAAGGUUAACCGCAUAGGGGAGCCGGAGGGAAACCGAGUCUUAAUUGGGCGUUAAGUUGCAGGGUAUAGACCCGAAACCCGGUGAUCUAGCCAUGGGCAGGUUGAAGGUUGGGUAACACUAACUGGAGGACCGAACCGACUAAUGUUGAAAAAUUAGCGGAUGACCUGUGGCUGGGGGUGAAAGGCCAAUCAAACCGGGAGAUAGCUGGUUCUCCCCGAAAGCUAUUUAGGUAGCGCCUCGUGAAUUCAUCUCCGGGGGUAGAGCACUGUUUCGGCUAGGGGGCCAUCCCGGCUUACCAACCCGAUGCAAACUGCGAAUACCGGAGAAUGUUAUCACGGGAGACACACGGCGGGUGCUAACGUCCGUCGUGAAGAGGGAAACAACCCAGACCGCCAGCUAAGGUCCCAAAGUCAUGGUUAAGUGGGAAACGAUGUGGGAAGGCCCAGACAGCCAGGAUGUUGGCUUAGAAGCAGCCAUCAUUUAAAGAAAGCGUAAUAGCUCACUGGUCGAGUCGGCCUGCGCGGAAGAUGUAACGGGGCUAAACCAUGCACCGAAGCUGCGGCAGCGACGCUUAUGCGUUGUUGGGUAGGGGAGCGUUCUGUAAGCCUGUGAAGGUGGCCUGUGAGGGUUGCUGGAGGUAUCAGAAGUGCGAAUGCUGACAUAAGUAACGAUAAAGCGGGUGAAAAGCCCGCUCGCCGGAAGACCAAGGGUUCCUGUCCAACGUUAAUCGGGGCAGGGUGAGUCGACCCCUAAGGCGAGGCCGAAAGGCGUAGUCGAUGGGAAACGGGUUAAUAUUCCCGUACUUGGUGUUACUGCGAAGGGGGGACGGAGAAGGCUAUGUUGGCCGGGCGACGGUUGUCCCGGUUUAAGCGUGUAGGUGUGUGUUCCAGGUAAAUCCGGUUCACUUUAACACUGAGGCGUGACGACGAGGCACUACGGUGCUGAAGCAACAAAUGCCCUGCUUCCAGGAAAAGCCUCUAAGCAUCAGGUAACAUCAAAUCGUACCCCAAACCGACACAGGUGGUCAGGUAGAGAAUACCAAGGCGCUUGAGAGAACUCGGGUGAAGGAACUAGGCAAAAUGGUGCCGUAACUUCGGGAGAAGGCACGCUGACAUGUAGGUGAAGUGAUUUACUCACGGAGCUGAAGUCAGUCGAAGAUACCAGCUGGCUGCAACUGUUUAUUAAAAACACAGCACUGUGCAAACACGAAAGUGGACGUAUACGGUGUGACGCCUGCCCGGUGCCGGAAGGUUAAUUGAUGGGGUCAGCGCAAGCGAAGCUCCUGAUCGAAGCCCCGGUAAACGGCGGCCGUAACUAUAACGGUCCUAAGGUAGCGAAAUUCCUUGUCGGGUAAGUUCCGACCUGCACGAAUGGCGUAAUGAUGGCCAGGCUGUCUCCACCCGAGACUCAGUGAAAUUGAACUCGCUGUGAAGAUGCAGUGUACCCGCGGCAAGACGGAAAGACCCCGUGAACCUUUACUAUAGCUUGACACUGAACAUUGAGCCUUGAUGUGUAG
Molecule: ribosomal RNA, 1576 nt
Filed under: Salmonella enterica subsp. enterica
Lineage: Bacteria; Pseudomonadati; Pseudomonadota; Gammaproteobacteria; Enterobacterales; Enterobacteriaceae
Description: partial 23S ribosomal RNA
Rfam family: Bacterial large subunit ribosomal RNA
Source: RNAcentral